This 506-nucleotide ribosomal RNA is filed under the name uncultured bacterium. RNAcentral's name for it is "partial 16S ribosomal RNA". It matches the Rfam family "Bacterial small subunit ribosomal RNA", at positions 28 to 523 of the family's 1533-position model. The record is from RNAcentral.
GAUGAACGCUAGCGGCAGGCCUAACACAUGCAAGUCGAGGGGCAGCACAUAAAGUGGUUUACUACUUUUGGUGGCGACCGGCGGACGGGUGCGUAACGCGUAUGCAACCUGCCUCCAACAGGGGGAUAUCGGAGAGAAAUUUCCACUAAUACCCCAUAAUAUCAGAAUCGGCAUCGGUUUUGGUUGAAAACUCCGGUGUUUGGAGAUGGGCAUGCGUUGUAUUAGAUAGUUGGUGAGGUAACGGCUCACCAAGUCAACGAUACAUAGGGGGACUGAGAGGUUAGCCCCCCACACUGGUACUGAGACACGGACCAGACUCCUACGGGAGGCAGCAGUGAGGAAUAUUGGUCAAUGGGGGCAACCCUGAACCAGCCAUGCCGCGUGCAGGAAGACGGCUCUAUGAGUUGUAAACUGCUUUUACAAGGGGAUAAAUCGGUGUACGUGUACACCGUUGAAGGUACCUUGGGAAUAAGGAUCGGCUAACUCCGUGCCAGCCGCCGCAGUAA